AGAGUUUGAUCCUGGCUCAGGAUGAACGCUGGCGGCGUGCUUAACACAUGCAAGUCGAACGGACACGUCUUUCGGGAUGUGUUAGUGGCAGACGGGUGCGUAACACGUAGGUGACCUGCCCUAGAGUGGGGAAUAAUUCCGCUAACGCGGGACUAAUACCGCAUACGUUCGGUGAUUCGCUUCACCGAGUAAAGUCGCAAGACGCUCUGGGAUGGGCCUGCGGCGGAUUAGGUAGUUGGUGGGGUAAUGGCCUACCAAGCCGAUGAUCCGUAGGGGGCGUGAGAGCGUGGCCCCCCACACUGGCACUGAGAUACGGGCCAGACUCCUACGGGAGGCAGCAGUGAGGAAUAUUGCACAAUGGGCGAAAGCCUGAUGCAGCAACGCCGCGUGAGGGACGAAGGCCCUCGGGUCGUAAACCACUUUUCUCUGGGAAGAAGCUCUGACGGACCAGAGAAUAGCUCGAUC
RNAcentral lists this ribosomal RNA (465 nucleotides) under uncultured bacterium. Its description in RNAcentral is "bacterial SSU rRNA". It matches the Rfam family "Bacterial small subunit ribosomal RNA", at positions 8 to 495 of the family's 1533-position model. The record is from RNAcentral.